This 253-nucleotide ribosomal RNA is filed under the name uncultured bacterium. RNAcentral describes it as "partial 16S ribosomal RNA". It matches the Rfam family "Bacterial small subunit ribosomal RNA", at positions 524 to 776 of the family's 1533-position model. The record is from RNAcentral.
GACGAACCGUGCGAACGUUAUUCGGAAUCACUGGGCUUAAAGGGCGCGUAGGCGGGUCGGUAAGUCAGGGGUGAAAUCCCACGGCCCAACCGUGGAAGUGCCUCUGAUACUGCCGGCCUCGAGGGGGAUAGGGGCGUGCGGAACUCAGGGUGGAGCGGUGAAAUGCGUAGAUAUCAUCUGGAACGCCAAUGGUGAAAACAGCUCGCUGGGGGUGUGCAGACGCUGAGACACGAAAGCCAGGGGAGCGAACGGG